UACGUAGGGGGCAAGCGUUGUCCGGAAUCAUUGGGCGUAAAGCGCGUGUAGGCGGCUCGAUAAGUCUGCUGUGAAAGUCCAGGGCUCAACCCUGUGAUGCCGGUGGAUACUGUCGAGCUCGAGUCCGGAAGAGGCGAGUGGAAUUCCUGGUGUAGCGGUGAAAUGCGCAGAUAUCAGGAGGAACACCAAUGGCGAAGGCAGCUCGCUGGGACGUGACUGACGCUGAGACGCGAAAGCGUGGGGAGCAAACAGG
This 253-nucleotide ribosomal RNA is filed under the name uncultured bacterium. RNAcentral describes it as "partial 16S ribosomal RNA". It matches the Rfam family "Bacterial small subunit ribosomal RNA", at positions 524 to 776 of the family's 1533-position model. The record is from RNAcentral.